This 492-nucleotide ribosomal RNA is filed under the name uncultured bacterium. RNAcentral's name for it is "partial 16S ribosomal RNA". It matches the Rfam family "Bacterial small subunit ribosomal RNA", at positions 29 to 507 of the family's 1533-position model. The record is from RNAcentral.
AGUGAACGCUGGCGGUAGGCCUAACACAUGCAAGUCGAACGGCAGCACAGUAAGAGCUUGCUCUUACGGGUGGCGAGUGGCGGACGGGUGAGGAAUACAUCGGAAUCUACUUUUUCGUGGGGGAUAACGUAGGGAAACUUACGCUAAUACCGCAUACGACCUACGGGUGAAAGCAGGGGAUCUUCGGACCUCGCGCGAUUGAAUGAGCCGAUGUUGGAUUAGCUAGUUGGCGGGGUAAAGGCCCACCAAGGCGACGAUCCGUAGCUGGUCUGAGAGGAUGAUCAGCCACACUGGAACUGAGACACGGUCCAGACUCCUACGGGAGGCAGCAGUGGGGAAUAUUGGACAAUGGGCGCAAGCCUGAUCCAGCCGUACCGCGUGGGUGAAGAAGGCCUUCGGGUUGUAAAGCCCUUUUGUUGGGAAAGAAAAGCAGCAGGUUAAUACCCCGCUGUUCUGACGGUACCCAAAGAAUAAGCACCGGCUAACUUCGUG